Molecule: unclassified non-coding RNA, 220 nt
Filed under: Hevea brasiliensis (rubber tree)
Lineage: Eukaryota; Viridiplantae; Streptophyta; Magnoliopsida; Malpighiales; Euphorbiaceae
Source: RNAcentral
AGCUGAGGAAAAAGCCCAGAGAGAAUGGGAAGAGAAGUACAGAGAGAGUAAUAGCUGUACACCGGAUUCGUGUGACCGUGAAAAUUACUCGGACGUGACUGAAGAAAGAGAUGACUUGAAGGCAUCUCAGGAACCAUGCUUAGCUGGAAGAACAAGUAUGCAGAAUCAUGCAAACCAGUGUGGAGCAGCAGAUGUUUCCCGUACCAAGCAGAAUGGAAAU